UCGGGAGGGCGCUUACCACUUUGUGAUUCAUGACUGGGGUGAAGUCGUAACAAGGUAACCGUAGGGGAACCUGCGGUUGGAUCACCUCCUUACCUGAAAGAAGC
RNAcentral lists this ribosomal RNA (104 nucleotides) under Salmonella enterica subsp. enterica serovar Agama. Its description in RNAcentral is "partial 16S ribosomal RNA". The stretch from base 1 to 92 matches the Rfam family "Bacterial small subunit ribosomal RNA", at positions 1442 to 1533 of the family's 1533-position model. Lineage: Bacteria; Pseudomonadati; Pseudomonadota; Gammaproteobacteria; Enterobacterales; Enterobacteriaceae. The record is from RNAcentral.